This 1120-nucleotide long non-coding RNA is filed under the name Chloebia gouldiae (Gouldian finch). RNAcentral describes it as "Erythrura gouldiae (Gouldian finch) lncRNA (ENSEGOG00005003047.1)". The record is from RNAcentral. Lineage: Eukaryota; Metazoa; Chordata; Aves; Passeriformes; Passeridae.
CUUUUUCAAAGGCAGCUGAAGUCUGUAGCUGCACAGAAAAAAAAUAAGUCAGAAGAACAGAGAACUUCUCUGGGAGAUAGACACUAAGAUUGCUUUGCAUAGAACUAUUUCUCAUGUUUUCUUCUGAUAGUAUUCCCAGUUGGACAGAAAGCACCUGAAUCUUCUUGGAUCAUGCACAAGAGAAAGCAUUCCUGGGCAGCCAUUGUGGGAGGAGGCAACAAGAAAGGGGAGAAAACGUCUGGGGAAAAUGCAAGAAUGCUGCCCAAGGCCACACAUGAGGAGAGAAAGAAGCAGGAGGCAAAAAGUAAAGAGAAAUUGAAAACCUUGGCUGGCAAAUUGCUGAAGACUGCAGUUGGUGGGAAGGAAACAGUGGAGAAGGCUGGUGCUGAGGAUGUGGCAGGGAAUUUGCUGAAGAGGCCAAGCAGUAGGAAAGGAGUGGAGAGAGGGAUGCCUGCAGAGGAAACCAUCUGCAGAUUCAUUGAGCAAGGAAAAUUUUUGGAAGCUUGUGAUCAAAUUCAUAAUCUGGAGCAUUCUGGAAAUGAUGGUAUAGGGAAGUCUGAAUCCCUUUAUGUGCUGCUGGCUGAACGAAUGUGGACGGUAGUGGGAGAAGCAUUCAGUGGAAGUGAUAGAAUGCUCCUGGAGCCAUUGCAGUCAGUGGGGGAAUCACUGAAGUGGGAGAAGCAGAAGGAAGCAGAGCAGCUUGGCAACAGCCUAGAGACAGAUUUUGUUUCCACCUGGAGCCCAAACUUCUGGAGAAAAGAUCUGGAGGAAAAGCUAAUGCAGUACAUGACUGCCCAGAUUCCCCUCUUUGCUUCCUCUGCUAACACAGACGAGGCUGCACUAAAACAGCACCUGAGUCAUCUGGAAACGAUGUUUCUCCCCAGCCUGGAGCAUAGAAGUGAUGUCUUCAAGGAAGCAGGACUGCUCCUCACCUAUGCCCGCUGCUGUCAUGCCUCUUUGUGUUCUCACCUGGCCACACUUACUGACAGGAACUGUUUCAGCUUCAGCCAGAGCCUUUUAAUUUAUGAAUGGAUCAUUAAAAUGUACAAAAGGUAUGUCUGAAGGGCUUUCUUCCUACAUUUUUCUAUAUCUCUAUUUUUUUUUUUUAAAUUUCUGAAAA